This 492-nucleotide ribosomal RNA is filed under the name uncultured bacterium. RNAcentral's name for it is "partial 16S ribosomal RNA". It matches the Rfam family "Bacterial small subunit ribosomal RNA", at positions 29 to 507 of the family's 1533-position model. The record is from RNAcentral.
AGUGAACGCUGGCGGUAGGCCUAACACAUGCAAGUCGAACGGCAGCACAGUAAGAGCUUGCUCUUACGGGUGGCGAGUGGCGGACGGGUGAGGAAUAUAUCCGAAUUUACUUUUUCGUGGGGGCUAACGUAGGGAAACUUACGCCAUUACCGCAUACGACCUACGGGUGAAAGCAGGGGAUCUUCGGACCUUGCGCGAUUGUAUGAGCCGAUGUCGGAUUAGCUAGUUGGCGGGGUAAAGGCCUAACAAGGCGACGAUCCGUAGCUGGUCUGAGAGGAUGAUCAGUCAAACUGGAAAUGAGAAACGGUCCAGACUCGUACGGGAGGCAGCAGUGGGGAAUAUUGGAGAAUGGGCGAAAGCCUGAUCCAGCCAUGCCGCGUGUGUGAAGAAGGUCUUCGGAUUGUAAAGCACUUUAAGUGGGGAGGAAGAGCAGUAAGUUAAUACCUUGCUGUUUUGACGUUACCAACAGAAUAAGCAACGGCUAAAUUCGUG